This 710-nucleotide ribosomal RNA is filed under the name uncultured bacterium. Its description in RNAcentral is "bacterial SSU rRNA". It matches the Rfam family "Bacterial small subunit ribosomal RNA", at positions 104 to 810 of the family's 1533-position model. The record is from RNAcentral.
GGGUGAGUAACACGUAUGUAACCUGCCCUCUGCAGGGGGAUAAGCGGAAGAAAUUCCGUCUAAUACCGCAUAAUACAAUUUGGAGACAUCUCCGGGUUGUCAAAGGAGUGAUCCGGCAGAGGAUGGACAUGCGGCGCAUUAGCUAGUCGGCGGGGUAACGGCCCACCGAGGCUACGAUGCGUAGGGGUUCUGAGAGGAAGGUCCCCCACACUGGUACUGAGACACGGACCAGACUCCUACGGGAGGCAGCAGUGAGGAAUAUUGGUCAAUGGGCGGAAGCCUGAACCAGCCAAGUCGCGUGAGGGAAGACGGUCCUAUGGAUUGUAAGCCUCUUUUGCAGGGGAACAAGGCGCGGUACGUGUACCGCGAAGGAGAGUACCCUGAGAAAAAGCAUCGGCUAACUCCGUGCCAGCAGCCGCGGUAAUACGGAGGAUGCGAGCGUUAUCCGGAUUUAUUGGGUUUAAAGGGUGCGCAGGCGGACUGUUAAGUCAGCGGUAAAAUGUCGGUGCUCAACACCGGCCGGCCGUUGAAACUGGCAGCCUUGAGUGAGCGAGAAGUAUGCGGAAUGCGUGGUGUAGCGGUGAAAUGCAUAGAUAUCACGCAGAACUCCGAUUGCGAAGGCAGCAUACCGGCGCUCAACUGACGCUCAGGCACGAAAGCGUGGGUAUCGAACAGGCUUAGAUACCCUGGUAGUCCACGCAGUAAACGAU